This is a long non-coding RNA of Xenia sp. Carnegie-2017, 231 nucleotides long. RefSeq lists it as uncharacterized. The transcript is spliced from 3 exons. The record is from RefSeq and is a predicted model, not a curated record. NCBI's taxonomy places the organism in Eukaryota, Metazoa, Cnidaria, Anthozoa, Malacalcyonacea, Xeniidae.
AUAAGAGAUGUGAGAAAGCAGUUAACGUGAAAACGAAACGUUACAUUAACGGGUUGGAAACGAAUAUCGAUCCAAUUUACACGGCCCAGGUUCAACAAGAAUUGACUGUCGCUAAAGAAGAGGCCGCCUAUGAACAAAUACAAGCUGCAGGUAAAGUUCAUUACGACAUCCGGGCAUCUGGUGGCGAUGACGUUGGUGGUAUGGGUGUGGCAUCUAUCAAGGUGAACGGAG